AGUGGACGCAUCACUGGUGUUCGGGUUGUCAUGCCAAUGGCACUGCCCGGUAGCUAAAUGCGGAAGAGAUAAGUGCUGAAAGCAUCUAAGCACGAAACUUGCCCCGAGAUGAGUUCUCCCUGACUCCUUGAGAGUCCUGAAGGAACGUUGAAGACGACGACGUUGAUAGGCCGGAUGUGUAAGCGCAGCGAUGCGUUGAGCUAACCGGUACUAAUGAACCGUGAGGCUUAACCUU
Molecule: ribosomal RNA, 235 nt
Filed under: Escherichia coli
Lineage: Bacteria; Pseudomonadati; Pseudomonadota; Gammaproteobacteria; Enterobacterales; Enterobacteriaceae
Description: partial 23S ribosomal RNA
Rfam family: Bacterial large subunit ribosomal RNA
Source: RNAcentral